AACGAACGCUGGCGGCAUGCCUAACACAUGCAAGUCGAACGAGACCUUCGGGUCUAGUGGCGCACGGGUGCGUAACGCGUGGGAACCUGCCCUUAGGUUCGGAAUAACUCCCCGAAAGGGGUGCUAAUACCGGAUAAUGUCUUCGGACCAAAGAUUUAUCGCCUUUGGAUGGGCCCGCGUUGGAUUAGCUAGUUGGUAGGGUAAAAGCCUACCAAGGCGACGAUCCAUAGCUGGUCUGAGAGGAUGAUCAGCCACACUGGGACUGAGACACGGCCCAGACUCCUACGGGAGGCAGCAGUGGGGAAUAUUGGACAAUGGGCGAAAGACUGAUCCAGCAAUGCCGCGUGAGUGAUGAAGGCCUGAGGGUUGUAAAGCUCUUUUACCCGGGAUGAGAAUGACAGUACCGGGAGAAUAAGCUCCGGCUAACUCCGUG
Molecule: ribosomal RNA, 433 nt
Filed under: uncultured bacterium
Lineage: Bacteria
Description: partial 16S ribosomal RNA
Rfam family: Bacterial small subunit ribosomal RNA
Source: RNAcentral